AUGCAGCGGCCGUCGGAGUCGAUGCCGUCGGAGCUGCGGUGUCGUAGUUGCAAUGCAGUGGCCGUUGGAGUCGACGCCGCCGGAGCUAUGAUGCACCGGCCACCGGAGUCGACGCCGCUGGAGCUGCGGUCGUCGGAGUUGCAAUGCAGUCGACGCCGUCGGAGCUGCGGUCGUCGGAGUUGCAAUGCAGUCGACGCCGUCGGAGCUGCGGUCGUCGGAGUUGCAAUGCAGUCGACGCCGUCGGAGCUGACGCCGCCGGAGCUACGAUGCACCGGCCGCCGGAGUCGACGCUGCUGGAGCUGCGGUUGUCGGAGUUGCAAUGAAGCGGCCGUCGGAGUCGAUGCCGCCGUCGAAGCUACGAUGCAGCGGCCACAACACCGAAGCUGCGAUGCAGCGGCCGUCGACGUUGCCGCUCGUCGGGGCCUCGGGGCUGUUGGAACUUGGAACACAGGGACGUCACUAGUGGUCGUCAGUUCGUAA
RNAcentral lists this ribosomal RNA (480 nucleotides) under Triticum aestivum (bread wheat). RNAcentral's name for it is "partial small subunit ribosomal RNA". The record is from RNAcentral. Lineage: Eukaryota; Viridiplantae; Streptophyta; Magnoliopsida; Poales; Poaceae.